AGAUCAGCGUAGUUUAAACAAACACACGCUUAACUACUGUCACCCUGCUGUAUCGUGAUUAAGAACCAGUCGACACAUGAAAUCAAAUAUAUUUUUCAACUACUUGACGACGAUUAGCGAAGGCUAACAGCUAGGCUAGCAGCUAACUGUUGCAUGUUUGGGUGACGGUGCGCGAAGGAGGGGGAGGCGGAGGGGAGGACGAAGGGGGAGAAAAGUAAUUUUAAGUAACAACUUUAGCGAGUGGAACACAAGAAACGCAACGAAUAGUACGCCACGAGACGCUCGAAGACGUGAUCCGCCCGCAAGAUUAACCCGUCGACAGAAAGGCGUCGAGAAAGCGGUUGCUUUGACAACUCACCCGUCCAUUGCACAAGAAAAAAAAUGCAGGUCUGAGGCGAAGGGGCCUGCACAUCCCGAUGGAACUCAGGCUGGCGUUUACAUUCACGUGAAAGGGUGAUUGCGCACACAUCAAAAACGACAUAACAGUGACGAGACGGUUCACGCGGUUGCGAGGCUUCAUGCAGUGCUACAAGUCUACUGUCCGCAGGGGGUGAGGAGGGCAACGACACCUUCCCUCCCCCGGGCAGCUGUGCAACUCACUUGUUCAGAACGGUUGAAAUAAUACAAAAAGCUGUGACUUUCAUGUACGUAUAUAUAUAUAUUUUAUAUAUAUAUAUAAAAUAUACCACAUAUAGUAGUGACGGGAAGCAUCUAUGGAAUAUAUUGUGAUCGAACGGUGGCUCGCGUGACUCUGGAUGCCGCAUGGUUCAAGUGACAAUUCAGAUUUUUUUUUGUCUUUAAGGUGGUACAUGGUCAGUUUUGUAAUGCGAAUAUUGCUCACUUUAAAAAGCAAAAAACUUUUUGGGGUGAUAUCCCUUAAAACAGUCAUCAUGACUUGAUGUAAGGUGGGGGUUACUUACAAUGUUUUCAUGUGUUACAUUAAUGUAAACGUCAAUUGAAAUGUUCUCAACACGGAUUUAAGCAUUAAAUUGACCACUUGAACCCGCGGCAUAAGUCCGAGCCAAGUCAGCGAAAGACGGCGCUGGUUAAUGACACAAAGUUUACAUGCAAGUUAAUGGUGGUGGCCAUGAUGGAUUACACACAAAACCGCCCAAAAAACAAAUAAAUACACUGUAUAAAACGUAAUUUCAAGUCAAUAUAUUAAAAUACUAUUCAAAAUAAUAUCUCGGACAAUAUUGCAAUAUGAAAUUGGCUGAUAAAUAGUUAGCUAGGCCUACAGAGAUAUAUAUUCCGAAGCAUCUGUGUCUUGUUUGCACAAUGAAUGACUUUUUUUUCUUUUAGUUUUCCAGGUCAAAAUGAGGGGAUAGUGGUACAAUCCAGAGAGCUAGCAGAUAUUUCCUCCCUUUCCAACAAUAACAACAAACAGUACAGUACACAGUCCCAUAAUCAUAACAAUAACAAAGAUAUACGGAAUACAAUAGACAGAAAAAUAGAAAACUAUCAAUAGAAACCAAAAGUCAAAAUACGAGUGUAAAGUAGGCUGAGUACUUGUAAGUCUUUGUGGAUUCUUUUUUGUUGUUGUUAGUU
This is a long non-coding RNA of Syngnathus typhle (broad-nosed pipefish), 1548 nucleotides long. RefSeq lists it as uncharacterized. Lineage: Eukaryota; Metazoa; Chordata; Actinopteri; Syngnathiformes; Syngnathidae. The record is from RefSeq and is a predicted model, not a curated record. The transcript is spliced from 2 exons.